Molecule: ribosomal RNA, 650 nt
Filed under: uncultured organism
Description: bacterial SSU rRNA
Rfam family: Bacterial small subunit ribosomal RNA
Source: RNAcentral
CCCGCCUUGGGGAGUACGAUUCGCAAGGGUUGAAAACUCAAAAGGAAAUUGACGGGGACCCCGCCCAAGCGGUGGAGCAUGUUGCUCAAUUCGACGCAACGCGAAGAACCUUACCGGGGCUUGACGUGCACUGGACCGUCAUGGAGACAUGGCUUCCCUUCGGGGCUGGUGCAUUAGGUGCUGCACGGCUGUCGUCAGCUCGUGCCGUGAGGUGUUGGGUUAAGUCCUCUAACGAGCGCAACCCCUAUCCACAGUUGCCAUCAGGUAACGCUGGGCACUCUGCGGAGACUGCCGGUGUCAAGCCGGAGGAAGGUGGGGAUGACGUCAAGUCAGCGUGGCCCUUACGUCCCGGGCUGCAAACGUGCUACAAUGGCUGGUACAAAAGGCUGCAAUGCCGCGAGGUGGAGCAAAUCCUAAAAAACCAGUCUCAGUUCGGAUUGCAGUCUGCAACUCGACUGCAUGAAGUUGGAAUCGCUAGUAAUCGCGGAUCAGCAUGCCGCGGUGAAUACGUUCCCGGGUCUUGUACACACCGCCCGUCAAGUGAUGAAAGCUGGGGGUACCCGAAGUCGUUUGCCCAACCGCAAGGAGGGCGACGCCUAAGGUAAAACCGGUGAUUGGCACUAAGUCGUAACAAGGUAACCAAGGGCGAA